UCUCUCUCUCUCUCUCUGUCUCUCUCUCACACACACACACACACACACACACACACACAGUGUGCACACACAGAUUCACAGUUAUAGCCACAAAACACUUAUGUCCAUGAAUGUUCCCUUGAAAGAAAACAGCUGUGUCUUAAUGUGGCUGUGAUCAGUGCAAUGCUCCAUAAUCAGGGAAAUCUUUUCAAAAUGACAUUAAGAACAAAUCAUGCAAAAUCACACAAAACUUUAAUAUGAAAAAGGACAAGGAAUAUGACUGCUGUAACAGGUUAACUGUUACCACAUCGUAGUCAUGUAUCAAAUUACUAAAUCGACAUUAGCUCUCGUCAGUACCAUUUAUACUUGGCUCAAAUACUGCACUUACAUUCGCGUCAUGCAAAACAAAUAGGCAAGUUAGAAACAGACAAAGAAUCAAAGAAACAACAAGAGCCCAGUGCCGUGUCUCUGCUCUAUUAAAGUGGCAUAUUAUAAAAGCAAUAAAGAGAGAGAGGCCACUCUUAUAACCUCUGAAAUGAUACAAAAAGAGAGAGAGGCCAUUCUUAUAACCUCUGCAAUGAUAGAAAAAAAGAGAGAGAGGCCAUUCUUAUAACCUCUGAAAUGAUAAACAAAAGACUGAAAGGAGGAAGAAGGUGCAGCCUAGGUGGGAGGUGUGGUGGAUUCAUUCUUUAGGGACGGAUCUAAAGGCAUUGCCAAUAACGCCGGGGUCUGUGCUCUGUCUGUGCUGUCUGUGCUCUGUCUGUGCUGGGCCCUGGAACUGGAUGCUCAUACACGGCAGGUCAAUUAUUCAGCGGUGGUGUGUGCCCGUGUGUGCCAAAGGGACAGAGGAGAGGCGGUGGUGUGUGUGCCAGUGUGCCCGUGUCCAAAGGGACAGAGGAGAGGCAGGGGGGGGCCAGACUCUGCAGGUAUGCCACAGCGUCCCACUUCAUAUUACGCACCUUUAGUACAAUGCACUUCCACAUGUCAUAAACAAAACCAUCUUCUUUUUAUGUAAUUACUGAUUAAUAAAUCCAACCUUAAUAAAUCUAUUACCCUAAUACAUGCUGUAACUAAAGUACUGAUGUACAAAUAGAAAACAUUUACAAAUAUAAUAUUAUAAUUCAUUAAAUGUAUAGGGCGUGUGUGUAGUGAGUAUAGAUACACUACAUAAAGUGGGGCAAUGGCAGGUCGUAUUCCAACAGGAUUUUCUUUCAGAGGUUUAGGUUUAGCUGUUGUGUUUGUAUUCGUUUAUAAUUCAUUCAGUAAUUGAUUAUUAUUGAAUUAUUUGACAGGACUGGAGAUUUGGUGUUUGAUUUAAGCAGAAAGAGAAAGAGAGGCAGAGUGUGUGUGUGUGUGUGUGUGUGUGUGUGUGUGUAUGCUUAACUGUGAGAAAGAAUUGUAAAAAGCAACAAAGACAUCCUGACAAAAAAGAGAGGAUUUGGUCGUCAGCAUCACGAGUGGAGCCCCGUCUCUGUCCCCCAUCUUAGGUUACUGGUCCAGUGGACACAAUGAGUCAUUCAUCAGCCCCUGCGGCCAGCACCCAGCCAUUCCAUGGCCUUCAAACAUCU
Long non-coding RNA from Clupea harengus (Atlantic herring), 1547 nucleotides. The record is from Ensembl. NCBI's taxonomy places the organism in Eukaryota, Metazoa, Chordata, Actinopteri, Clupeiformes, Clupeidae.